AAGCCUCUCUCUCUAGUUUUCGUUCUAAUUAUAAUGUGAGAAAUACCUUCUAUGAACACCGAGACCCAAGUGCUUAAAACCUGGCAGACGCAUCGAAGCAUAAAGCAGGCCCGAGUGAUCGGACGAGAACAUCAUGCGCUCCAUGCAGCUCUUCGAAAACGUGAUUUAACUCGGGGAACAGAUCCUCGACCGCACACGCGUGGACUGUUUGGCCACACCGAAACCCGGAGCUACACUUUAGCAUAGAUUGCUCAGCUUUACACUGAAGCAUAUUAUGCAGACGAGCUUUGUUUCGAUAUAAAGCAAACCCCCAACAGACAAACAUCACAAAGACCACGAGGUUACAGGAGGAGGAACUUGCAAGUGUCUUUGCAACGAUGAAUCAGGUAUCUAUUCUGGUGUAGAGAGAGGAUUUGAGAGCUGCCCUGCUAUCACCAGUGUAGACAUUAAGAGUAGUACAGUACAUGUACACUGAGAUUUGCCAUCACGUGUUUGUGUAAACUUAAUGUGCACAUUUUGUAUUUCAAAAAAGAAAAAUAAAAGCAAAAUAAAAUGUU
Molecule: long non-coding RNA, 557 nt
Organism: Tupaia belangeri chinensis (Chinese tree shrew)
Lineage: Eukaryota; Metazoa; Chordata; Mammalia; Scandentia; Tupaiidae
Exons: 3
Source: RefSeq, a predicted model, not a curated record